This 965-nucleotide ribosomal RNA is filed under the name Trametes sp. RNAcentral describes it as "partial large subunit ribosomal RNA". It matches the Rfam family "Eukaryotic large subunit ribosomal RNA", at positions 31 to 983 of the family's 3401-position model. The record is from RNAcentral. Lineage: Eukaryota; Fungi; Basidiomycota; Agaricomycetes; Polyporales; Polyporaceae.
GACUUAAGCAUAUCAAUAAGCGGAGGAAAAGAAACUAACAAGGAUUCCCCUAGUAACUGCGAGUGAAGCGGGAAAAGCUCAAAUUUAAAAUCUGGCGGUCUUUGGCCGUCCGAGUUGUAGUCUGGAGAAGCGUCUUCCGCGUUGGACCGUGUACAAGUCUCUUGGAACAGAGCGUCAUAGAGGGUGAGAAUCCCGUCUUUGACACGGACUACCAAUGCUUUGUGAUGCGCUCUCAAAGAGUCGCGUUGUUUGGGAAUGCAGCGCAAAAUGGGAGGUGAAUUCCUUCUAAAGCUAAAUAUUGGCGAGAGACCGAUAGCGAACAAGUACCGUGAGGGAAAGAUGAAAAGCACUUUGGAAAGAGAGUUAAACAGUACGUGAAAUUGCUAAAAGGGAAACGCUUGAAGUCAGUCGCGUCGUCCGGAACUCAGCUUUGCUUCGGCUUAGUGCACUUUCCGGUUGACGGGCCAGCAUCGAUUUUGACCGCUGGAAAAGGGCUGGAGGAAUGUGGCACCUUCGGGUGUGUUAUAGCCUUCAGUCGCAUACAGCGGUUGGGAUCGAGGAACGCAGCGCGCCUUAUGGCUGGGGUUCGCCCACAUUCGCGCUUAGGAUGCUGGCAUAAUGGCUUUAAACGACCCGUCUUGAAACACGGACCAAGGAGUCUAACAUGCCUGCGAGUGUUUGGGUGGAAAACCCGAGCGCGUAAUGAAAGUGAAAGUUGAGACCUCUGUCGUGGAGGGCAUCGACGCCCGGACCUGACGUUUUCUGAAGGAUCCGCGGUAGAGCAUGUAUGUUGGGACCCGAAAGAUGGUGAACUAUGCCUGAAUAGGGUGAAGCCAGAGGAAACUCUGGUGGAGGCUCGUAGCGAUUCUGACGUGCAAAUCGAUCGUCAAAUUUGGGUAUAGGGGCGAAAGACUAAUCGAACCAUCUAGUAGCUGGUUCCUGCCGAGUCUCCCCCCCGGAGUAAA